UCCUCUUGCCUCCCAAAGUGCUAGAAUUAUAGGCAUGAACCAAUGCACCCAGCUAGUAUUUGUUCUUACCAGUUUAAUAUCUGAUAUGUCCUCUAUCUGAGGAUAAUAUAGUAAAUGAAUUUUUAGUAAUAGGAGAUGGAACAGGAGCUUGCUCUGUCUACUCCAUGCAUCAGCCUGGUAUUGUAGUACCUCCAGGAAUGGUGUACCAAAA
This 211-nucleotide small nuclear RNA is filed under the name Carlito syrichta (Philippine tarsier). RNAcentral describes it as "U2 spliceosomal RNA (ENSTSYG00000021069.2)". The stretch from base 39 to 211 matches the Rfam family "U2 spliceosomal RNA". From Rfam's summary of the family: U2 is a small nuclear RNA (snRNA) component of the spliceosome (involved in pre-mRNA splicing). Complementary binding between U2 snRNA (in an area lying towards the 5' end but 3' to hairpin I) and the branchpoint sequence (BPS) of the intron results the bulging out of an unpaired adenosine, on the BPS, which initiates a nucleophilic attack at the intronic 5' splice site, thus starting the first of two transesterification reactions that mediate splicing. The record is from Rfam by way of RNAcentral. Lineage: Eukaryota; Metazoa; Chordata; Mammalia; Primates; Tarsiidae.